GGUCAGAUGGCCGAGUGGUUAAGGCGGUAGCUUAAGGCGCUAUUCUCGUAGAGGCGCGGGUUCGAAUCCCGUUCUGGCCA
Molecule: non-coding RNA, 80 nt
Organism: Anncaliia algerae PRA109
Lineage: Eukaryota; Fungi; Microsporidia; Tubulinosematidae
Source: Rfam